Molecule: ribosomal RNA, 397 nt
Filed under: uncultured bacterium
Lineage: Bacteria
Description: bacterial SSU rRNA
Rfam family: Bacterial small subunit ribosomal RNA
Source: RNAcentral
AUUGAACGCUGGCGGCGUGCUUAACACAUGCAAGUCGUGCGGUAACAGGCGUAGCAAUACGUGCUGACGAGCGGCGAACGGGUGCGUAAUACAUGGGAAUCUGCCCUUUGGUGGGGAAUAACCCGGCGAAAGCCGGGCUAAUGCCGCAUAAGAUCUUCGGAUGAAAGCGGGGGAUCGUAAGACCUCGCGCCGAUGGAUGAGCCCAUGUCGGAUUAGCUAGUUGGNGAGGUAACGGCUCACCAAGGCGACGAUCCGUAGCUGGUCUGAGAGGACGGCCAGCCACACUGGGACUGAGACACGGCCCAGACUCCUACGGGAGGCAGCAGUGGGGAAUAUUGGACAAUGGGCGAAAGCCUGAUCCAGCGACGCCGCGUUUGUGAAGAAGGCCUGGCGGGUU